GGAGGGUGCGAGCGUUGUUCGGAAUUACUGGGCGUAAAGCGCGUGUAGGCGGCCUUGCAAGUCAGGCGUGAAAGCCCUCGGCUUAACCGGGGAAGUGCGUCUGAAUCUGCUUGGCUUGAGUACGGGAGAGGGAGGCGGAAUUCCCAGUGUAGAGGUGAAAUUCGUAGAUAUUGGGAGGAACACCGGUGGCGAAAGCGGCCUCCUGGACCGAUACUGACGCUGAGACGCGAAAGCGUGGGGAGCAAACAGGAUUAGAUACCCUGGUAGUCCACGCGGUAAACGAUGGGCUACUAGGUGUGGGGGGUAUCCACUCCUCCCGUGCCGAAGCUAACGCAUUAAGUGCCCCGCCUGGGGAGUACGGCCGCAAGGUUA
RNAcentral lists this ribosomal RNA (372 nucleotides) under uncultured bacterium. Its description in RNAcentral is "bacterial SSU rRNA". It matches the Rfam family "Bacterial small subunit ribosomal RNA", at positions 527 to 896 of the family's 1533-position model. The record is from RNAcentral.